AAAAAAAGGGCGUAUGGUGGAUGCCUAGGUUCUAAGAGGCGAUGAAGGACGUGGCUUGGCUGCGAUAAGCGUCGGGGAGGUGUCGAGCAACCUUCGAUCCGGCGAUUUCCGAAUAGGGAAACCUACCACGACGAAAAUUCGUGGUAUCUAUCCUGUAACUCAGGAUAUGAGGCAAACCCAGGGAAGUGAAACAUCUCAGUACCUGGAGGAAAAGAAAAGAAUGAAAUAUUUAAAACACUGGCCUGUCAAUUGGGGCAAGUGUUUUAAAUAUUUCUCAUUCCCUUAGUAGCGGCGAGCGAAACGGGAGAAGCCCAAACCUCAAAUUUGUUGCUAGUUUACUAGUUUGCUAAUUUGGGGGGUUGUAAGAUGCUGUUGUUCCUGCUUCGGCGGGAGAGAGUUUAUACAACAAAAAUAUUAGCGGAAUGCGGCUGGAAAGCCCAACCAAAGAAGGUGAUAGUCCUGUAUGCGAAAGUAUUUUUGUACUUUUAGACAGUAUUCUUGAGUACUUCGACACAUGACAGGGUCGGAGGAAACAGGCCGCACUAAACGGCCAAGGCUAAAUACUCUUGGAGACCGAUAGUGAACAAGUACCGUGAGGGAAAGGUGAAAAGCAGCCCGGUGAGGGCGAUGAAAUAGUCUCUGAAACCAUAUGCCUACAAAGAGUCGGAGCCCCUCGCGACAGCAAUGUUGCUCGGGGUGACGGCGUGCCUAUUGAAGAAUGAGCCAACGAGUUAUCAUGCAUUACGUAAUCUAAUCCCGCUCAGCGGGAGGAGGUGUAGCGAAAGCGAGUCUGAAUAGGGCGUUUAUCAAAUCAUACACGUGUUCUUAUUAAAGAAUACGUGUGUGGUUUGAACGUAGUUCGUGAUAGACCCGAAGCCAGGUGAGCUUACCAUGGCCAGGAUGAAUGUCGUCGAAAGGCGGCAGGAGGUCCGAACCGGUGAGUGGUACAAAACUCUCGGAUGAGCUGUGGUAAGGAGUGAAAAGCUAAUCGAACCUGGUAAUAGCUGGUUCUCUCCGAAAUAGCUUUUGGGCUAGCGGCAAUCGCAAACCAGCAGGUAGAGCACUGGAAGGUCUGUAAAGGGAGAAAUCUCGACAGUCCUAUCAAACUCCGAAUGGUUGGUGUUUCGGAUUGCUAGUCAGACCAUGGGGGCUAAGCUCCAUCGGUCAAGAGGGAAAGAGCCCAGAUCGCAAUCUAAGGUCCCUAAAUCUACGUUCAGUGCACUUAAGGAGGUGAGGUUUUUCAGACAGCGAGGAGGUUGGCUUAGAAGCAGCCAUCCUUUAAAGAGUGCGUAACAGCUCACUCGUCGAAAGACCUUGCGCCGAAAAUAAUCGGGGCUUAAACGUAGUACCGAAGGUGCGAAUUGCAUAUCUUUAUUGAUAUGUGAUGGUAGGAGAGCAUUUUGUAUGCUGUGAAGCGGGACCGCGAGGCUUCUCGUGGAGCGUACAGAAGAGAGAAUGUUGGCACAAGUAACCACAAUGCGGGUGAAAUCCCCGCACGCCGAAAGCACAAGGUUUCCUUGGCAAUGACGAUCAUCCAAGGGUUAGUCGGGCCUAAGCCAAUGGCGAAAGCCGCAGGUGAUGGACACACGGUUAAUAUUCCGUGACUUGGCUAUUGAUUGAUGGAGGGACGAAGUUCAGUAUACGGAGCGUGUUAUUGGAUUCGCGUUCAUGCCGUAAGGGUGCGUUCUAGGAAAAUCCGGAAUGCUGUGUUUAAUCACACACCCAAGCGGAGUGAGAAUUUCUUCCUACGGGUUGGAAAACUUCGUAAAGCGAGCUUCCAAGAAAAUCUUCUACAAUUAUCAAUAGUUGAACCGUACCGCAAACCGACACAGGUGUGCAGGUCGAGUAGACCAAGGCGAACGGGUGAGACCUCCCUAAGGAACUCGGCAAAAAAGCGGCCGUAACUUCGGGAUAAGGCCUUCCCGAACCCCGAGCGCAAGCGAAGGGUGAGGGACGCAGCGAAAGUUUCUCUGGCGACUGUUUAUCAAAAACACAGCUCCCUGCGAACUCGCAAGAGGAUGUAUAGGGGGUGACGCCUGACCAAUGCGAGAAGGUUAAAUACUGACUGUGCGUGGUCCCGCAAUUGCGGGGUUGCGUGCGGAUUGGUAUAAGCCCUCGUCAAUGUCGGCGAUAACUAUAAUCGUCCUAAGGUAGCGCAAUUCCUUGUCGGGUAAGUUCCGACGCGCACGAAAGGCGUAACGACUGGAGAACUGUCUCGGGGAGGUGCCCGGUGAAAAUGCGAUGCCGGUGAAGAUGCCGGCUACCUGCAGUUAGACGAAAAGACCCCGGAAGCUUUACUGUAGCUUGAUAUUGGGCUUAGGUCUUUAAUGCGUAGCGUAGUGGGGAGUCUACGAAGUGCCGCUUUUGGGCGGCAUGGAGACGCCAGUGAAAUACCCAUCUUUAAAGAGCUAAGUUCUAACCCCCGCGGCAAAAACGCGGAGGGACAGUAUCUGGUGGGCAGUUUUGGUGGGGCGCUAUCCUCCUAAAAAGUAACGGAGGAGUUUACAAAGGUCAGCUAAGCGCGGAUGGAAAUCGCGCUCGUCGUGUAAUGGCAUAAGCUGGCUUAACUGCGAGACGGACAUGUCGAGCAGAUGCGAAAGCAGAACAUAGUGAUCCGAUCGUGGGUAUUAGACACCGCGAAAGCUCAACGGCUAAAAGUUACUCCGGGGAUAACAGGCUGGUACCGCCCGAGCGUCCAUAGCGACGGCGGUGUUCGGCACCUCGAUGUCGGCUCGUCCUAUCCUGGGGGUGGAGAAGCUCCCAAGGGUUUGGCUGUUCGCCAAUUAAAAGGGUACGUGAGCUGGGUUCAAACCGUCGUGAGACAGGUUGGUCUCCUAUCUACUGCAGGCGUUGGUUCUUGAGGGGAGUUCUUUCUAGUACGAGAGGACCGAAAGGAACGUACCUCUGGUGUACGAGCUGUCGUGCCAACGGCACCGCUCGGUAGCUAUGUACGGACGGGAUAACCGCUGAAAGCAUCUAAGCGGGAAGCCCACCCCAAGAUGAGGAACCGUUUGAGGACCGUGAGAGACUAUCACGUUGAUAGGCCCUAGGUGUAAGUACUGUAAAGUAUUGAGCCGAGGGGUACUAAUAGUCCGAGU
RNAcentral lists this ribosomal RNA (3098 nucleotides) under Parcubacteria group bacterium GW2011_GWA2_47_10b. RNAcentral describes it as "bacterial LSU rRNA". It matches the Rfam family "Bacterial large subunit ribosomal RNA". The record is from RNAcentral.